Non-coding RNA from Lolium perenne, 4522 nucleotides. NCBI's taxonomy places the organism in Eukaryota, Viridiplantae, Streptophyta, Magnoliopsida, Poales, Poaceae. The record is from RefSeq and is a predicted model, not a curated record.
AAUCUCAAAGGAGUUGUCUUCUUCCUGUGGUUCCCAAUUAAAAUAGUCCUAUCACAGACCCGCGAUGAUGGCUUCGCUGUGGCUGCAAAAUUCACGUCCUUGCUAUUCAGUAGCAGAAGCAACUGCUCAAGAAUCAAGCUCGAGGCGGCGCCACUUUCAUGCCCGUCGGUCUCUCCAACCGCCACCACGCGGAGGAGUCAGUCUGUGCCACUGUGGCGCAAGACAUUCAUGGUAGGGAUCGACGAAACAAGAACUGUCAAUCCCAGGGGCGUCUUGGAGGAGCUAAACAUCACCUUCAGCGCCGGCGCUCUCUGGCCUCCUCGCCGGAGAUGAAUAGAUAUGCAAUCAGGAACGGCUGCUCGAGGGAAUCAUGAUUUGGUAAUUGGAAAAUAGAAUACAGUAGGCAGAUUGGGAACCAGGGAAGAAGACAACUGCUUUGAGAUUCGGUUUGCCACGCGUCAGGCGCGCGAGUUGGUCCAGCUAUCGGCCUGUACAACCUGGGUCGUAUAGGAUUAAUUUCCCUUAGCCCUGUGGUUCUCUCUAUCCAUUUCUGUUCCCCUCCCCGUCUCCAAAAUUCGAUCUCUCGCUAGGGUUCUUCGAGGCGAAAUCAGCGCACUGCCUAUGGAGAGUGACCGCGUGAGUGAGGGCGGGAUGCUCGACGGCGGUGAGCAACCUACCUGCGAAGGUGGGGUGCUCGGGAAUCCAGUUUGUGUGCUCUGUGCUUGCGUUGUCUUCGGCCAUGGCUGCUGGCUAGGAGGAGGCAUGCUGGCCAGAUCCGUCACUGCCCCGCGGUAUGCAGCCGCAUCCUCGACCUCCUGGAGUACGGCGUCCGUGGGGGGCCUCCUGGAGCACCGCGUGUUCGUGGCGCGCAACGGCUGCGGCGCCGGUGAGACGCCGACCACCUCCACUCGCCCAGGCCGCCGCGGCUGCUCGUGCCACGGAGGUCCAGCAGGACAGUAUCGACCCGGCAUCUAGGCGUCCCAAAGAGGUCCGCCAGGCCAACGCCGACCACCUCCGCAGCCCACCGGAGCUGCCGGUAUUCCUCUUCUCCUACUGCCGGUCGUGGUCAUGGCCGAGCCAGACCGCGCCAAAGCCAGGCUUCUCCUGCUGUUGGUCCUGGCCGUGGCAGAGGGGCCAUGCCCCAGUCAGGCUGCUCCUGCUGCUAGUCCUGGUCGUGGCCAUGUCAGGGCGGCGGCGCGCGGCCACCUGCAGGUUUACUACUAGCUAAUUUGGUCAAUGGUGUGCAGCUAGCUGAAUUUUUUGCGCGCACGCAAGCGAUAUGUAGUGCUGCUACCCGAAUCCCUGCCGAUAUGUGCUAGCUGGUUUCUUUUUGUCAAUUUACAUUGUCAAAAUUUUGUGUGCAACAUUUCAAUUUGCAACGUGCAUUUUUUUUUUUUUCAAAUUGCAAUGUCAAUGUGUUCAAUUUUUAGAUGCUUUUAGGCAUAAAGUGAAAAAUAAAAAGUAAUCUAGCUGAGGUAGAUUCAGAUAUUAUGCCCAGUUUGUUAGAUAAAGUUCGGACUAGGUUGUAGCUGGAAUGGGUAAAGUUGUAUGAUGUCCAUACUAAGUUUGUCUCUGGGAAUAUCCAUGGAUGUAGGAUGGUCUUUUUGCCUAUGCAUUUUAUGGAACUGAUAAGUUGCUCAUACCCUUAAUUAAGUUGGUUUACUCUGUAAGGUUGCGUAUUGUUCAUUGUUAAGUUGUCCACUAAUCAAUGUUAAGUUGCUGAUACUGUUAGAUAUUACAGUUACUUUUGACAAGCAACUUCAGUGUUGGACCAAACAAUUUCAUAACACUAGACACUUAUUUUUUACAAUAGUAUGAAAUUUCCCAAGAUAUAUUGAUGCUAAUUUUUGUAUGACUGGUAACACUGGUACUAAGUUAAGUCGCGAUGGAAACCCUUUCCCCACCGUAAUGGUUAUGUUGCAUAACUUGCACAACUUCAGAAUUAAGUUGAUUCACCCACAUAAAUAAGUUGCUUAUGCCACUUAAUUAAGUUGAUUAGACAUAUUAGUAUAAGUUGCAUACUGAUACUUAAGUUUGUUUUUUCACACAUCCAUGAAUGCAAUGGACUUGUUCUGCUAUAUCCUCUCGCUUUCCUCAAUUAAGUUGUCUUGUCAAUAUUCUAAAAUUGUUUCUACCAUUUAAUUAAGUUGAUCACGCAUCUUAGCCUAGGUUGCUUUACCUAUUCAUUCAAGUUACUCACCACAGGUUAGUAAGUUUGGUUUGAUCUGUAGGGCAAUGACUAAAGUGUAAUUUGCAUGUACCACUAGCCUAGCGGAUUAAGACUGCUUUACGCGACUAAGUCGUGUUUGUAUCCAGUAAAUUGUUUCUUCACACAUGUACUGAAUUGUCUACUCACUAUUGCUAAGUUGUAUAUAGAGUGAUGCUAAGUUGCAUAGCCCAUCUGUGAAUUCUUACCUCUACACCAUAGGGCAAAAACUUAUUUCGAGAAGUGGCAACAACUAUAGUGUGUACCAAAUGCAACUCGGUGGUUGCGCGUUUGCAACUAAGACACCACCAGCAACAAGUUGCAUCCAUUUACUAAUUGGGUUGUAGCUGAACAAGCAAAGUUGCAUGUUGAAGAUGAUAAGUUGUUUUUAUCCCAUGUACCAAGUUGUAUACCUACUAUUGCUAAGUUGCAGUGGCGUAUCCAGUUUGGGUACCAUGGGUUUCAUUGAAUUUCUACAUGCAUUUUGCCACAACUCUUAUAUAGUUGGGUGGUGUCUUUCCUGAAUUUUGCAUGUAUACCUAGCCACUAAGUUGCUUCAAGAGUGUCAUGUGCAUCUACCUUGUAAGAUCUUGGGUGGUGUUUUUUCGGCUCUAUCCGAGCAGCAUGUCCCGUAUCAUUCAGUUGCUAAUGUGAAGUUGUCUAUAGGUUGUUGCUAAGUUGAUCGCUGAAUGGUAAGUUGCUGAUCUGGUGAGAUAGCAGAGGCGUGCUAAGCAUCUUACACAUAAUGUGAAUUCAUAUGUUUUUUGUAUUUCUGAAGUCGAUUUUGCAUGUAGUACUUAGUUGCUUCACAUGUAGACCGAGUUGUUUUUUCAUUAUGCUAAUGUGUGCCCUCGAUGGACUCUAUGUUCAGUUUGAAGAGUCUCAAGGGAUGUCUUGCAUAUGAAGUUAGUGUCCCAUCAUGUUCAAGUUCCUGAUCCAUUUUUAUUAUGUUACUUACUAUUUUUUAUUAAGUUGUUCACAUUCAACCGUGAGGUUUGUGAUUGUGUUUGUCCAAUCAGCCAUCCACAGGUUGAAGUUGCUUAUAACAUUUAGUUAGGUUACUAAUCGUCUGUUCAUUAAGUUGAUUUUCCGUAUACCCUUUGUAUAUCUAGGGGGGCUUGGGUUUCUGUGUUUCACCUUGUUUAAUGUGAUUAAGUUGUUUUUUUUCAUCUAAUUUAGUUACUUACUUUCCCUUAUUAAGUUGUAUACUCAGAAUUGGUUUGUCUUCCUUUUUACCCUCUGACCAUGCAAUCAGCUGUAUGAUUAAUAAAUUAAGUUGCUUAGCUGGUAUUAGUUAGGUACUUGUUUUCUAUGCUUGUUUCGCUUAUUUACAUAUUCUAUGAUCCCAUACGUGCGGAUGCAACUUAGACAAUACUUGAGCCAAUUCAGCCAUCACGUGGAGCAACUUAGACAUGUAGUACAACAAAUCCCCAAAUAAAUUCAGCAUUUAGUCUUGGAACUCUGGCAACAACUUCCUCAACUGUCCAAACAUUUUCCAACAAUUCAAACAACAACUUAGAUGUUAGCAAAAGGCAGCUAAGAGAUCACUAGGAGCAACUCAGAUGUUAGGAGGAAUAACUAACAUAUGCUAAGUUGCUUCUUUGAUGAGUUGCAUUUUGUCAUGCACUAGUUUCCAAAUUACAGAGUUGCUUUUCAGGCGCAUUUGAUGAGUUGCAUUUUGUCAUGCACUAACUUGUAGUUUUCAAAUUACAUAGUUGCUUUUCAGGCGCAUUUGAUGAGUUUGUCAUGCACUAACUUGUAGUUUCCAAUUACAUAGUUGCUUUUCGGGCGCAUUUGAUGAGUUGCAGUUUGUCAUGCACUAAGUUGUAGUUCCCAAAUUACAUAGUUGCUUUUUGGGCGCAUUUGAUGGUUUGCAGUUUGUCAUGCACUAAGUUGUAGUUACCAUAUUACCUAGUUGCUUUUUGGGUUUAGGUAAGUUGCAAUUUCAGUUCCACUGUGUUGAUGUUGAGACUGUUGCAGGCUUAGGAUAUUGUUUCUAUGGUGAUUUGUGUGUUACUUGCACGUUCCUAGGGUUGUGGAUCUAAAUAUGUUGUAGGUUUUCAUAUCACCUAAUAUCUUUUCUGUUGCAGGUAAGCUGCAGCGUGCCAUGCACUAAGUUGUAGCUAUUAGAUUACUGAGUUUCUUUUCAGGUGCAGAUCAGUGGUCAUUGAAAAAAUUGAAGCACCAGUUUGUGAAAGUACAUACAAGCGGAACCGGAUAUGUGCAUAGUUGCUCAGUAGCUGUUAGUUUGCAGCUUGUCCAUUUUGAAACUGAUAUUGAAAUUAGCUGAUGUGUAUCAAUAUCAUCAUGAUCCUA